RNAcentral lists this transfer RNA (78 nucleotides) under Thermosipho africanus. RNAcentral describes it as "tRNA-Asp". It matches the Rfam family "tRNA". From Rfam's summary of the family: Transfer RNA (tRNA) molecules are approximately 80 nucleotides in length. RNAcentral also lists the same sequence under 14 other names. Lineage: Bacteria; Thermotogati; Thermotogota; Thermotogae; Thermotogales; Fervidobacteriaceae. The record is from RNAcentral.
GGGGACGUGGUGAAGCCUGGUUAUCACGCCGGUCUGUCACACCGGUGGCCGCGGGUUCAAAUCCCGUCGUCCCCGCCA